AGCUGGCUCUGUGUCUUUCCACAUUCCACAAGUCCCAAAGCUUUCAAGCCUUUCAAAUGGGAACGCUACUACUAACUGAAAGCCUCCAAAAUCUCACAAGGAUAACUGAUGUCACAGUAACUUUGGAGAAAAAGGCUCUCUUCCUUAUUUGUGCCUAACUGAAAGAAGUUUAACCAGAAACAUCUUGAAAAGAAGAAGAGGAAACACAAAUGGCUUUGUCAACAAGUUGCAUCGUGAUCUCAUCUUUGUAAACUCCAAAAGUCAAGAAACUAUCCUGAACCCCAGCCUGGAGUCUACAA
Non-coding RNA from Meleagris gallopavo (turkey), 299 nucleotides. NCBI's taxonomy places the organism in Eukaryota, Metazoa, Chordata, Aves, Galliformes, Phasianidae. The record is from RefSeq and is a predicted model, not a curated record.